AAUCUUGAAUCCUUACCUUCAGGUCUACACCAUCUUCCUUGCCUUGAGUCUAUUAAAAUAGAUGGAUGUCCAAAAUUGUCGGUGAGAGAAGGUGUUCCCACCAGCCUUAGACAACUCUUAAUUAAUGAAUGUGAAGAUGACAAGGGAACGGGAAUGGGAACGGGAAUGCUCACCUCUCUAAAAACGUUAGAAAUAUUUUUCCUCCCACAGCUUAAAUCCAUCUCAGACCUGACCAACCUCACCGCUCUUGGAAGCUUGGAUAUCGUUUCACUCCCACUGCUUGAAUCCAUCUCAGACCUGAACAACCUCACCUCUCUAAAAUGGUUGCGAAUCCAAAAUCUCCCACAGCUUGAAUCAAUUCCAAGUCUCAGCAGCCUCACCUCUCUUGAAAGUUUGGAAAUCUCUGAUCUCCUACAGCUUGAAUCAAUCCAAGAUCUGAGCAACCUCACAUCUCUUACACAUUUCAUAAUUUCCAAAUGCCCAAAGAUCAAAUUAAUUCCAAGUCUGAGCAACCUCACCUCUCUUACAGAUCUCAUAAUUUACAAUUGCCCAAGGAUCAAAUUAAUUCCAAGUCUGAGCAGCCACACCUCUUAUGAAAAAUUGAGGAUUGUGGAUUGCCCAAACCUCAGAUCCAUUCCCGAUCUUGGCAACUUCAAAUAUUUAUCAAUUAAGAAAUGCCCAAAACUCAAAUCCCUGCAAACCCUGCCAUCCUCACUUCAGUCUGUAGGUAUUACAGAUUGUCCACUGCUUAUAAAACGAUGGAAAAGUGUUAGGGGAAAAUAUUCCUCAAAGAUUGCUCAAAUUCCUGAAGUUGUAAUAGAUGGCAAAUUCAUCUACAAUUCAAAGGAGUGGGGAGUUGUUGAUACGAGCUUCUUUCUCUAAUUUUCCUAAUGGCACAGAUACAUCUAAUUCCAUCAAAGGUGAUGGUCGACAAGAAUCUCUCAAUUAUAGUUUGUCCGGGUAAUUCAUUUAACUUUAAUCAACCUAACAUAAUACCUUGUAUCUCUAAUUCUGAUCCAACAUUUCUAAUGUCAAAAAUUUAUUUGUAACUCAAGAAACUUUCAGCUUAGGAAAAUUCCAGUUUUUGGAAUUCUAAAUAAAGUAAAUUCUUCAUGUUCUUGUUUCCUGAGAGGAUCUUUCAACAAUAGAUUUUUAUAGCUUAUUUAAGGAAUCAUUGUUUACUUAAUGUAAACAACACAAUGCAGGACUGCUAUGCUUAGAUUCAAUGUUGUAGAAAUCAUCGGAAAGGCUUAAAAUUUUCAUUCUCUAACUUCAUGUAAGCAUAUUAAACAUUGUGUUUAUAUAUCUAACAUUGUAAAAUUACACAUUUUCUACCUUACUCUUGGAUUUAUAUAUGAAGUCCGCCAAUUGAUGAGAGCAAAACCAAGUAAUGGACUUCUAUAUAUCUUGCUGAGCCAGAGCAGCCAGUAAAUUUUCACUUCAUACAAAUUUUUGACUAUAACAAAAUUCUAUGCUAUCAACAAUAUUCUCAUAUUGAAGUUUACUAAGCAAGAAGCAAGUAAAAAAUAUUUGUCUAGUUUCAGAAGUAAAGGAUGGCAUUUUGAUCUUAUAAAUUGAAAGUGGUUCCUCUGUUUCAAAACUUCUCUACUUUGUCAUCUCAUAGAUUGUCUCAACUUUUGUGGUUCCAAGGUAAUCAAAAGUGCCACUGUCUCCAACUUAGACAAGCAACUGUUAGAACCUAAUCCUGGCAUGUCUAAGUUUUCCGGAACUAAACUUACUGCAUGUCUGCUUGCUGAAAUUCCAAUACUGAGAUUGUAUCUUCUAGCUGUUGCAACGGUUAAUCAAGCAGCAUUUUUCCUGCUUGUGUGUAUGGAUCCCCACGCUUAAAUUAACAUUGCAGAGAUCGUUGUAGGGCUUAAAGUUUUCCUCCUCCAACUUCAUAUGUUGAGCAAAACAAAGUAAUGGACCUCUAUAUAUCCUGCUAAAGCAGUACAACCAAUCAAUGCUCAUAUAACAAAGCUCAUGAGGAGAGCAUGUCACCUUAAUUUGAAUGUUUUAAUAUUCAAGGAGAGUACUGAAAGAUUUUCAAGAUGAAAUCGACACAACUUUAAGAGAGUUUUGUGUCACCUUUGAUAAAAGACUCGAAUAAGAAGUUCAGCUUAUGACAUUUUUGCAGUAGCUUGUGAUCAAUCAAUUUCUAUUGUGGUGAUCUGGUAGCAGAGUUGAAAGUUAAGUACACAAACAGCAACACGGCUACAGAAAUGGAGGAAUUUGCUUUCUUCUUGGAGGUUUGAAGCCUUGUUUCGUGUGGAUGUUGGUUCCUCCUCUCCACAGGUUAGAAGACUUUGCUGCUACAUCCAGGUUUAUGGCUUUCUUGGAGCAAGAUGAUUACUUUCCCUACUGUUCCUUCACGAAUGUGUCAGCAUUUAUGGCUGCCUUUUCACUUCUGGAGGAAUUUUCUGCUGCUGAACUUGUAGUUCUUGUUGGUUUGCUCUUAGCUGGUGCCGUGACUAAGCAAGAUGAUGUUGGUUAAUUUCCUCUACAAUUCUGGUCCAGCUACAAUCAGUUUGCAGUUUCUUUUUCUCGCUUUGCGAUAUUAUUUUUUGCCUUUCAGUUUGGAUGGUCUCUAUUGCUGUUUUGUGUUUGAAGUUGACUGCUUGGUGCCGAGUUGUCUUUCUAUUUUCAUAAAUUUUUUGGUAACCGAAGAAACUUUUUCAGCUUAGGAAAAUUCCAAUAUUUGAGAUUCUAAAUAAAGUAAAUUCUUCAUUUCUUGUUUCAUUUUUCAAUUCCUGAGAGGACCUUUCAACAACUGAUUAGAUAAUCUUAUGAUUUGUCUUUUUUGUGAGUUUUGAAUUCAGGGGAGGAACAUUUAGAGGCAGAAGUUGAAAUAUUUUCCAUCUAAUUGAUUUGAAGCUUAUCUUGUGCAAUUUAGGUUUACUUACACAAUAUGGACAACACAAUGUAGGACCCCUAUAUGCGUGGAUUUAGUGUUGCAAGAAUCAUUGGAAAGGCUUAAAAUUUUCCUUCUCUAACUUCAUGUGAAUCUUGAAAGAAUUUCAAGAUGAAUUCCACACAACUACAAAAGAGUUACAUGUCACUAUGAAUGAAAGGCUCAAAUAAGAUAUUCAGCUUAUGACAUUUCUAUAAUAACUUGUGAGUAAUCAGUUUCUAUAGUGAAACUACUUGAGUAAAAAUCUCUAGAAUCACAUCUCACAUACUUUGGAGAUCAAGAGAUGUUCUGCUUAUAUAAUUUACAAGAUUUGAUAAGUUCCGGUCCUUACUAGCUGAACUAAAUAGUCUCAUAUUCCUUGAAGAAGACAAGACAAGAAAUCUCCUGAAGCAAAUUGAUGAGAUUAAAACACAUUACCUCACUUCAAAUAUUUGUGAUAUGGUUACAGGUUUUGAAAGUUAAUAACACAAACAACAACAUGACUGCAAAAAAAGGGAGAAAAUAUAAAGAGUUUUGAAGAAUAAACCACUAGAUCAUUGCUUCACAAACUUGGGCCUCAUCGUGUCCCUAUGACAUCAUAAACUUAAUGUGAUGAUAAGAGGAAUGUGAUGUUGGUAAGGCAACAAUGUAGGUAAAGGAAAUCUACUGAAGCAACAUGACAUCAGUUCCAAUCAUGUUUGGAGAAAAAAAUAAAAAGGAGGUCAAAGUAGUUUCAAUUGGAUACAUGGCAAGAAUUUUUCUGAGCAAACCGGAUAUGAUUAAAAGACUUGAUUCACCCACUAUUUUAAUUUUCACUAACAUCAAACAGCCAGUGACUUGGAGAAAAUCGAAAAACUGUUAAGGCCACAAACCACUAAAUCAUUGCUUCACAGACUUGGGGCUUCAUCAUGUCACCAUGUCAAAAAAUGCAGUUGCAGGGUGCUACAGACCUGAAGUUUUGCCUUGAAGUUGCUGGAUUAGUGGUAUCAGGAUGUUUGCUGGAGAUUUUAAUGUGUUUGGGGAUGAAAUACAUGCUGAAGAUGUGGUGCUGGGUUGGCUCUUCCUUGCUGCUGCACUCCUCUUACUGGACUAACACUGGAACAAGAAAUCUGGAAUUUAUGUUCCAAAAAGAACAUAAAUUCCUUGAUUGUGUGGUGAAUGUGAGACAAAUUUUUUUGUUCUUGAUUGCAUAGUGAAUUGAAGACAAUUUUUCAUCCUUGAUUAUGUAGUAAAUUGAGAACAAAUUUUUUUCCUUGA
Long non-coding RNA from Mangifera indica (mango), 4147 nucleotides. RefSeq lists it as uncharacterized. The record is from RefSeq and is a predicted model, not a curated record. Lineage: Eukaryota; Viridiplantae; Streptophyta; Magnoliopsida; Sapindales; Anacardiaceae. The transcript is spliced from 15 exons.